RNAcentral lists this long non-coding RNA (3884 nucleotides) under Ananas comosus (pineapple). RNAcentral describes it as "long non-coding RNA (ACOM_LNC009406)". The record is from RNAcentral. Lineage: Eukaryota; Viridiplantae; Streptophyta; Magnoliopsida; Poales; Bromeliaceae.
GGAGGGGAGGGGAGGCGAGGACGGCGUCAGAGGAGGAGGAAAGCGCAUCGGCACGAGGGUCGAUACUAAGCAUGUGGAGAUCGGACAGCUAUUGGCGGAGGAGGAGGAGAGCGCGCUGUCGUCCGCUCCGGCAGCCUGAAAAGAAAGAGAAAGAGGAAGAUGGUUGUUUUGGAGUGACAUAUUUGUGAGGGUAAAAUUGUCAUUUCAUAACUCUACUGUUAAAAAAUUAACAGCUCUCUAACGGAUCUUGACCAGAGGGACAUAUCUGAAUAUAAUAGGACUUUUGUAGGAAUAACUUAUGAAAGUUGAAUUUUUCAGAGAUAUAUCUGCAAUUCACCAUAUUUGCAGAAACGUAUAUGCAAUUAACUCAAAAAAAAUUUUAGGGUUGGAAUUAUAGCAGUCUCCUUAGGGUUUAGUAGUAGUCCCCUUAUGAUUGAGCGGGCGGUUGGUUGAAUAAUAUAAUUUAACGGAUAGAAUUGAUCAAGAGGUAGAUCUAGUAGUAAAAAAUUUGAUAGCACCAAGUAUUUAAUUAAUAUUAUUAAUAACUAGUAUUUAACCCGUGCUAUGCACGGAUAAUAUAAUAAUAUAAAAUAACAUAAGUUAUUAUGUGAUGAUAAAAAAAUUUAUUCUAAUUAAUAUUAUAUUUUUUUAAAUAAUAAAGAAAUAUACUAUUGAUCUUAAUUAUAGUACAUAUUAAAGUACAAAAGCUAGAAUUAAUCUGUAAAAUAAUUUACAAUUACAUAUUGAUGUGCAAAACAAAAUGAUAACUAAAAUUGAUAUUCAAAAUUACAAAUGAUAUUAGUAUUUAAGCAUAUAAUGAGAUCAACUAAACUUUCAUAUUCUACACAAAUUAGAGUAAGCAUACGUAUAUGAGAGACAAAUAAAUUUUCAAGAUUCAAAAAUAUAUAGAUAUUGGUCUUCAAGAAAAUAUAAAGAAAAAAAUUUUGUUGCAUGAAGAUGAAAAGUACAUGCUCCAAUAACAAUAUAGAUAAAUUGUUAGAUAAGCAAAAUGAUAAAUAUCAUAAUAUUAGUGUAUUUUUUUCAGAAAAAUAUCUAAACUUAUUUAAAAAAUAAAAUGACAAAGUUGAAUUGUUGAAAAAUUGUAAAUUUCGAAAUAACAUGAGAAAAAAUAAACCGCUCACCUAUUUUAAGUUCUGAAACACUUAUUUAAAAACCACAUUACUUGUGGUUUUGGAUAACAAACCAACUUUAUCACAAAUUAAAAUAUUCAAUCCGUGCUUGCUUCGAACUCUAGAUAUUGCAACAUAUAACUGACCAUGACUGAAUAUCGGUCUAGGUAGAUAUAAGCCAACAUGUGAUAACGAUUGACCUUGACUCUUGUUUAUUGUCAUAGCAAAACAAACAGCCAACUAAAGAUGUCUGUGGACCGGGUCGGGUCUGGGUAAUUAAUAUACUGUACCCAUACCCUAAAAAGAAAUGGUUACAAAAAAUAUAUAUAUACCCUACCCAUUUAACUUUGGGUCGGGCCCGGAUCUGGGUACUAAAGUUACUAAUAUACCCAUCGGGUCUAUUUGAGCGGGUCUGAGUAGUGACUACCCGUAUAUUACCCGUUCAAGACCGGAUAUGGAUCGGGUCUAGAUCGGGUACGGAUAUCCGUAUAAAUAUAUAUUUUUUAUAAACUUUAUUAAAUAGUCAAUAGACAAACUAUAAAGCCCACCAUAAAAAAACUCGCAUUUUAAUAAGUUGUACCGUCCAAUAAAAUUCAUUCAAAAGAAAUAUUGUCGCUGAUGAUGAUGAUGACAAUGAAAUAUUGUUGGCGGAAAUGAAAUGAAAAAAAAUGAGUAGAAAACAAAUAGUAAAGAAAUUAGAAAAAAGUAAUGAGUAAAAGAGACGGCUAGGGUUUCAUUAGGAUGAAAAUACGUAGUGACUCAUCAUCUAUAAGUCAUAUUAAAAUUGAUCCUUCAACUUCAAAAGUUUAUUUUUUUUUUAUUUACUAUCGGAUAUUUCAUCGGGUCCGGGUCAGGGUCCGGAUUUGAAAACUAUUCCGGACCCUACCCAUUUAAAAGUUAGGUUCGGGUCGGGUCCAAAUCAGGUAUGGGUAUAAAAUAUCCGGACCCAUAUCCGAAACUUUAAUGGGUAAUUUUUUUUAUCCGUAUACUAUUCAUUUUUUAUCGGGUCCGGUUCGGGUCUGGAUAGGGUCCGAGUCGGAUAUGGGAUAUCGGAUAUUUUGGACACCUUUACAGUCAACGAAAAUUGCCUUAGUUGCAUUUUAAAAAGUAACUUGGAGUCUGAUGGAGUAAUCACCAUACGGGGUAUAAACACUUUCUCCCCAAUAUUGCUCCCAGAAAUCACUUUUGCUUCUAUUAUGUAUUUUCCCAAUUGGGUGAUCACUAAUCUGGUUCCAUUGCAUAAACCUAAAGACUUGUCUAUAUUUCUCAAUAACAUCACAAAAGCAGCUUGCUUCAAUUUGAUCAUGUGAUUAGGAACUCCUGAGCAUUUAUGAUUGAACGGGCGGUUGGUUGAAUAAUAUAAUUUAACGGAUAGAAUUGAUCAAGAGGUAGAUCUAGUAGUAAAAAAUUUGAUAGCACCAAGUGUUUAAUUAAUAUUAUUAAUAAUAUUCUAGUCGGACUCAUAUAAUAUUACAUUAAGGCCCUGUUUUGAUGCAUAGUUAAAAAACUCAAUGGAAUUUUUAUUCUAUGGUUUUGGUCUAAAUGAAAUACGGAAUUCUGUAACUACAAAAAAAUUUCACAGCUUUUUUAAGCUGUUUGGAUACAGAUCAUACAAUUCCACAGUAUUUAUAACAAUUAAAUUUCUAAAAUUUUAAAAUUUAAAAUUCAAAAUUAAAAUUCAAAAUUCAAAAUUCAAAAUUUAAAAAUAAAAUUUUAAAAAUUAAAAUUCCAAAUUCAAAAUAUAAAAUUAAUGUCACGCCCCGGAUUACACGUUCCCCGGGCACGCCGACAAAUCCGCCGUAUACAAGAAAUUUUCCCUGUAUACGAAGCGAUAGCUGUACCUGUAAAUCAAACACUACUACGAACAGUAGUAGAGAGCUGCUAGAGAAAACUGAAGCUAAAUAAAACAGAGUUUCAUAUACAUAGUUCAGAUCCAAAAUACAGAGCUACUCGCACUGGCGAGUUAAGUCAACUAUGUACAUAAACUCGAAACAAAACAUCUACCUGCAGUAGGGCACCUCUAGCUCAGCACGUCGGGUAGGGCUCUAACUCGCGACGCCCUUGCCUCGAUCCUGAUCCACGGACGGUGCAGCAGCCGGAACCUGUGGCUCUGCAAAUACAUAGGUAACAACUGGGCGUGAGAACUACUGUAAAAACAAGUAGUCCUCAGUGGGUACCGCCCAAAACAACAUCGGUCACCCACUAAGCCUACAGAAGGGAGCAAGGAUAGAAGGAAAGCAGGAAGCAUACUCUACCGCUAUCAUCCACUACACUAUCAUGCUCUACACUAACCAACUGUAGGAAAUGUCAAAUCUGACCCAAUCCAAUCGGGACUGUAAGCAUACCCGUCCCCGGGACUGUGAAUACACCCGUCCCUGCCCCGUUGCGACUAUCAAGCUCUAUCCACACUAACUGGUCCGUGGAGAGCAAGUCCAACUGGCAUGAGCGACACCAACGCGAAAGCACAAGCCUGACUCCGGAGUGGCACUCGUGGGCGCUACCCAACCGAGUAUGCAGCGUAUCUCUGUCGAGCUCAAUCAGGCUCCAACUAGCCAAAGUCAAGUAAUCGACUCAAACUGUCUAACAACCAACAAGUAACGUGCCCUCAGCACAAUCUGACGCCAAAAAGGCGAUACGGUCCACCGUCAACUCUGACGGCACCCAACAAUCCGAAACGACCUGAACGACCCUGUAAAAAUCCACUCGGCGAACCAGCACGAGUGUAAAUACAUUCUAAACUACCUGGAGUACUCG